RNAcentral lists this transfer RNA (73 nucleotides) under Capra hircus (goat). It matches the Rfam family "tRNA". Rfam says of the family: Transfer RNA (tRNA) molecules are approximately 80 nucleotides in length. Their secondary structure includes four short double-helical elements and three loops (D, anti-codon, and T loops). Lineage: Eukaryota; Metazoa; Chordata; Mammalia; Artiodactyla; Bovidae. RNAcentral also lists the same sequence under 1 other name. The record is from Rfam by way of RNAcentral.
UCCUUGGUGGUCCAGUGGCUAAGACUCUGUGCUCCUGAUGCAGGGGACCUAGGUUCAAUCCCUGGUGAAGGGA